This 253-nucleotide ribosomal RNA is filed under the name uncultured bacterium. RNAcentral describes it as "partial 16S ribosomal RNA". It matches the Rfam family "Bacterial small subunit ribosomal RNA", at positions 524 to 776 of the family's 1533-position model. The record is from RNAcentral.
UACGGGGGGGGCAAGCGUUGUUCGGAAUUCCUGGGCGUAAAGGGCUCGUAGGCGGCCAACUAAGUCAGACGUGAAAUCCCUCGGCUUAACCGGGGAACUGCGUCUGAUACUGGAUGGCUUGAGUUCGGGAGAGGGAUGCGGAAUUCCAGGUGUAGCGGUGAAAUGCGUAGAUAUCUGGAGGAACACCGGUGGCGAAGGCGGCAUCCUGGACCGACACUGACGCUGAGGAGCGAAAGCGUGGGGAGCAAACGGG